RNAcentral lists this ribosomal RNA (464 nucleotides) under uncultured bacterium. Its description in RNAcentral is "partial 16S ribosomal RNA". It matches the Rfam family "Bacterial small subunit ribosomal RNA", at positions 28 to 507 of the family's 1533-position model. The record is from RNAcentral.
GACGAACGCUGGCGGCGUGCUUAACACAUGCAAGUCGAACGGAAAGGCCCAGCUUGCUGGGUGCUCGAGUGGCGAACGGGUGAGUAACACGUGGGUGAUCUGCUCCUAACUUCGGGAUAAGCUUGGGAGACUGGGUCUAUUACCGGUUAGUACAAUCGGUUAGUGUCGGUUGUGGAAAGAUUUGUCGGUUAGGGAUGAGCCCGCGGCCUAUCAGCUUGUUGGUGGGGUAAUGGCCUACCAAGGCGUCGACGGGUAGCCGGCCUGAGAGGGUGGACGGGCACAUUGGGACUGAGAUACGGCCCAGACUCCUACGGGAGGCAGCAGUGGGGAAUAUUGCACAAUGGGCGCAAGCCUGAUGCAGCGACGCCGCGUGGGGGAUGACGGCCUUCGGGUUGUAAACCUCUUUCGACAGGGACGAAGCUUUGGUGACGGUACCUGUAUAAGAAGCACCGGCUAACUACGUG